RNAcentral lists this ribosomal RNA (505 nucleotides) under uncultured bacterium. RNAcentral's name for it is "partial 16S ribosomal RNA". It matches the Rfam family "Bacterial small subunit ribosomal RNA", at positions 28 to 507 of the family's 1533-position model. The record is from RNAcentral.
GACGAACGCUGGCGGCGUGCCUAAUACACGCAAGUAGAACGCACAGUUUAUACCGUAGCUUGCUACACCAUAGACUGUGAGUUGCGAACGGGUGAGUAACGCGUAGGUAACCUGCCUGGUAGCGGGGGAUAACUAUUGGAAACGAUAGCUAAUACCGCAUAAUAUUAAUUAUUGCAUGAUAAUUAAUUGAAAGGUGCAAUUGCACCACUACCAGAUGGACCUGCGUUGUAUUAGCUAGUAGGUGAGGUAACGGCUCACCUAGGCGACGAUACAUAGCCGACCUGAGAGGGUGAUCGGCCACACUGGGACUGAGACACGGCCCAGAAUCCUACGGGAGGGAGCAGGAGGGAAUCUUCGGCAAUGGACGAAAGUCUGACCGAGCAACGCCGCGGGAGGGAAGAAGGGUUUCGGAUCGGAAAGCUCGGUUGUAAGAGAAGAACGGGUGUGAGAGUGGAAAGUUCACACUGUGACGGUAUCUUACCAGAAAGGGACGGCUAACUACGUG